CGCACUCGUGCGGGAGAGUUCUGUGGCCGCCAGCUACAGACGCCGAAGGAGCAACACCUCUCCGUCAACCUCUCAGGCACCCGGACCGCGCGGAAUAA
Non-coding RNA from Mycobacterium lacus, 98 nucleotides. NCBI's taxonomy places the organism in Bacteria, Bacillati, Actinomycetota, Actinomycetes, Mycobacteriales, Mycobacteriaceae. The record is from Rfam.